CCAGCCCAGACUAUCCCCACCGCCGGGCCGCCAGCCUGGCUGCUGUCUCUCCGGGAGCCGCUGCCAAGCCGUCAGCUCCUUUCAUCGCCCCAAGGCAGCCAGAGGGAGCGCCAGCAGCAGCCUUGGCACACGCCCGCUCCGGCCACUCCCGGCGUGUUCUCAGACACAGACGCCAGCCCAGCGGGGCGGGCACCCAGCUCCGAGCCCACGGCUGCAACAAGGAAGGGUCACUGGGGGACCCAGCCCCCUCAUUACACGUCAGGAAACCUGGGCUGGGGAUCAGCCAGGCCUCCUUUGAAACUGUCUAGCCAAAUCAGCCCGUCAGAGUGGCGAUCAGAUGUCCAUGGGAGGCGGUUCCCUCUGCUGGAAUGUUCUCCAUCCCUCCCCCACCGGCCAGCCCCUCAGGGCUCAGCGAGGGCAGGCCCUUCCUCAGAGGCCCUGACCUUCACCCAGGGCCAAGCUCCCUCUUAGCACUCAUAGCACCCAGCCCAGGCGCCUGGCUGUCAGCCCAGAUGGGCACCUAAGCUAAGGAAGCUUGGGGGAGGGACGGGGGACCUCGCAGGGCUCCCCGUGGGUCCACUUGGUGGUCCUGCUCCUCCCGACAUGUGGGCACAGGCUGGCCUUCCAGGACUUCCGUGUUUGGCUCCUGGAGGCAGGACCCCUGUCCCCAUCCUGACUCCGGGCACCCAGAGGCAGCCGAGAGCUGGGCAGGGGGAUACCCAACUCCACGGAGAUGCCCAUGGCCUCAGGAAACUCUGUCCCACGCCCUUGGCUUUGAGGUGAGGAUAAGAGAGCCCAGCCCUGGCUCCAGGAUCACCUCCAUAGAGUCCGUCCUGGGUCUCUGAGCCUUCACUUCCUCCUCUGCCAAACGGAUUCUGAUUCUUCCUGGUCAGGCUGCUGACAGGUGAGCCAAGGUGAUAGACACAGGCCCUGCCCUUCCGCGCCCUCCUGCUGCCCUCCUUUCAGAGUGAGAAAGCUGUGAGCUGGGUGAGAGCCCCUGGAGAGAGGCAAAGGUGGCCAGCCUGUCCUCUCUGGGGCCUCCCUCUGCCCCUUCCGGGCGUCAUGGAGAAAAGCAGGCAGUCCAAGACUGGCAGGAGGCAGGGUACCUCCUGGCGGCAGGGGUCUUUGGCUGGCCGCACUGGCCAGGCAGCGAGGGAGGGAGUGUCUGCAACAGGAACCACAUCUGAGGAGCUAAGGAAAAGGGCUGUGAUGUGUGAGGACAGUAAGUUGAAGGAAGAGUGAGAAAGAAGCAUGUGGAAGGGAGAGACCCUAGUGGCUCCGAGGCCCUGGCCCCUGCAGCCAUCAGUGCCCACCAGGCCGGCCCACUCCAGACUCCGGGUCUCCCAGUUCCGGCUUCAGCUUCAGGGAGAGAAUCCCACUGGGCUGCGCUUGGGUCAUGUGUCCAGCCUGCACCAAUCAACCAAGGUGGAGUUGGGGUCACACAGCAGAGAGUGAGCCUGGCCAAUCCCAGAGAGGGGAGAAACUGUGGGCGGGGCAGCCACUGACAGGUGGCUCCUCAUUUUACAGGUGGGAGGUAGACAGGCCCCCAGGGCAACUGUCCCUCGGUAAUGUGUCCCGGAAUCCUUGGACCAACCCAAAGGCCCAGGGUGGGAGGGAGCCAGUGUGCUCCUGAAGGGAGGAGAGGUGGGGCAAGGCUCCCAGGUGGGCCCCAGCGCAGGGAGCAGGCAGGUAAGAUGAGGUCCCUGUUUUGAGCAAUGACGCUGGUGAUGAGGCCAGGAGUUGAUCCAGGAGGACGGAGGGAGUGGAUGCAGGACAGGGUGAGGAGGGUUAAGAGCAUGACCUGGGCCAUCCGGGUCAGGUGGAGGGAGAGGAGCCACCGGCCAGGGCUCCAGGACACACGAUGGUGCUUGCUGGGUGACACAGAGGAUCGAGUGGGAAGCCAGCCAGCAGCAGGACCAACAGUUCAGUCUGAAACAUCUUGAGCCCGAGGUUCUGUGGUCCACUUGGGAGAGAAGGUGAGAGGGUGGUGGCCACAGGGGAGAGAGGCCUGGGCUGCCAUUGGGGACUGGGGGGGACUGACAUGGACAGAGGUGGCCUGCGAGGUCAGAAGAGUGGUCAAGACAACAUGGGAGAUGCCUGGAAAAGAAGGGAGGCCGGGACUGAGUCCUGAGGAACGCAGCAUUCAAGAGAGGAGUGCCGGAGGAGCAGUGGGGAAGCGGAGGAGCGUGGGGAGGGGCGAGAGUCAGGCCAGGGGGCUAGACCGGGAGGGCCCCAGGAAGAGAACUGGACCUGACAACCAGGAGGCCAGAGGAAGCCUUGAGGAAGGGUCCCCUCACAGGGGCUGGGGUUAUGGAAGUGAGACAGGAGACACCCACCCAAACAGGGCAUCUCUCUGUGCCCCUGAUUCUCUGUACUUGGGAGCAAUUCUCCGUUGUGUUGAGAAUAAUGACCCCAAUGUCCAUCGGGGCAGAGAUUUCUUCAGUUAGCGUCUGAAACAUGUUGGGAGAUAGCCACCUUCUAUUCCCAGGGCUCCCUAGUAAGCCGAGGUUACCCCAUUUUACAGAAGGGAAAACAAGCAGAAGCAGCUCAUCAAAGGACACACAGCACAUGGGAGGCAGAGCUGGGACCAGGGCUAAGGACCCUGGUAGCCAACCCAGCAUUGUCUCCUCCUGACCUUGUCCGCGCUCCAGGUGAUGCUGGGAGUGAAGGUCACCGCCACAAGGGAGUAAGAGCAUCUCUGGUUAGACUUCCUCUCCCCAGGCCUCAGCCCCUCCAUCCAGGAGCCUGAGCUGGGCCUCUGCUUGGCCGUGAUGCCCUCUCUCUGGAUCCACCCAAUGAGGUCAAGAAGGUGCCCCAGCUCUCCCGGCGAGGGCUGGGAUGUCCUGGGUGGAUGCCCACUCUGGUCAGUUGCCAGCAUCUAGACUCCCCACACACCAGCAACUUCAGGAAGGAGGCACAAGGGCAGACAGGCUCUCAGAUGGGCACAAUUCCAGGGCCGUCAUGGCUUCCGGGAGCUUGAUGGGGCCAGGUUCAAAUCCUGGCUCUUCCACUUGCUACCUGAAUGACCUCAGACAAGUGUGAACCGCAUGUCAGAGCCUUCAUUUCCUCAUCUGUAUUGUAGAGGAUCGAUGUGCCUAUCUCCCAGGGCUGCUGGCAGGAUUAGAUAGGUUGCCCUUCGAACAGUCACCUGGAAGCAGGGGGAGGAGCCUGUUCAUGUUGGGCGUUGACCAACAAGAACCAGCAAGAGAGAUGAAGAUGGAUCUGCCCUCGCACAGCUGCAGCAGACUCGCACACUUGGAGGCAACAUGUGACGUGGAGAGACACACUUUAUGUCCAUGUUGUUGGGGGAGCAGCCUGUGCCGUCCCUCGGUGAGCUGGCAUCCUCCUGGCCCUGCUGAGCAAGUGAGCAGAGAUGCGGGGCCAGCCCGGCUCCCAGCCCUGCUACUCCAGCCUCAUCAGCCCCACUCCCUCUCUGGCCUUGCCUCCCUCCUUCAGCACCACCCCGGACUGCGCCAGCAAACCCCGCUCCAUCCCUCAUCCCUUUAACAUCCCUUGGCCCUUGCGCCAAGCCCUGUGCUCAAGCCAGUGGGUGCAGGUGAAGGAGCUGGGUCCCUGUGCAGGGAGAGACAGAAGCUGUAAGAAGAGGCCAGCAGCCAGACACCCAGCCCCGCCGCUCCCCUGCUGGGUGACCUCGGGCAAGUCACUGCAUUGCUCUGGGCCUGUUUCUUCAUCUGUAAAACGGGAUGAUGCCAACCCUAACCUCCCCCUCGUGGGACCAGUGUGAGUAUUAAAUAUAAGUCAGGGCAGGUGAAGUGUUCAGAAAGCGCUGGGCCCAGCAUGCGGGCUGAGUAGGUGUCACUGUUGGUACCAUCGCUGUCACCCUCGGUGCUGGGACAGUGGGUCCAGAUGAGGAGAAAAUGCUGCUUUAUGCUCAUUACUUCCAUCCUCACAACCCCGCUAGAAGGCCACUGUCAGACCCAGAGAAUAGAAUAGGAAACUGAGGUCACACCAAAGCCACCAGACACUGUGCGUGAAGCCUGUGUUCGACCCACCUAGCCCGGUGAUAAGGAUGGGGCAGGAUGAGGGGGGCAGUGCGCUGUCAGAGAGGGGGCUCCUGGGGGCUCUGCAGGACCCCGUGUCCCUGUGUCCUAGGAGGCCGGCAGCCCUGUGGCCUCAUCUCGGUCAGGACCAGGCCAGCCAUCCUGCCCACUGGUCCUCGGGUUCUGGCCCAACUGUCCCCUCCUCCUCGGAGAGGCCUUUGAGCCUCCCAGGGCACCAGCCCCAAAGGACAGCGCCCUCCAGGCCUUCCUUCCAGGCUGGUGAGACGUGUCUCAGCCGAGGUCAUCUCUGUCAUCACUCAGACCAGACGACGUGGGAGGCAGCCACGAGGAACUCCUGUCCUCUCUCAGAGCCCCCUCCCAGGGCCUCCUGCCCAGGUUUCCCUUUAGACCCAUCUCGAGUCCCCCUGGGUGUCUUGAGUCCCAGGACCCGGCAGGGUGGUGGAUCUCUGACAAGCAGAAACAAAGAGGAGGUGCUGGUAGAAGGAGCCCAGGCCGCCCCGAGGCCUGGGAGCAGCUGGGACCCAGCCUCGUUUCCUCGUCCGUGCAGCGAGAGCCACAGCACCUACAGGAGCCCCAGGGUCCUGAGGGAACCACCUUGAGCCUCAGUCUCCUCAUCUGUAAACCGAGGCUGAUGACUCCAGGCCCAUGUCACAGGACCGCAGAGAGAAAUGCCCGACAUUGGGACUGUGGGGUCACAGGAACGUGAUUCCUGACAGCGGGAGCGGGGAGGACGAGGAGGAGGCAGAACAGGAAAAUAUUUUGAAGGCUGGUCUCUAAGUGGCUUUAGGAACCACUAAGCCAGAAUGGCCUGGACAAGGUCAGCUGGUUUGGUGCCCACCUUCCCGCCCAUCGCUGGGCCACAGACUGUCACACAGGUCAGAGCCCCCCAGUCCUCUGCCCUUUCCUGAACCAUCUGGAAGCUGGAAAGUCACUGUCCUGACACAGGUCACAACAUCCGAGCACCUUCCCCAGACAGACCCCAGGCUGGGCACCGAGGAAGGGUUGCUUGCACCUGAGCUGGGCCUGAGCUGGGCCUGAGCUGGGCCUUGAAGGAGAAGCAAAGUCCACCACUCCCUGCAGGGAGCUGUGGGCAGACACACCCCAAAAAACAAAUACACUGCGAUGGGCGCCAGGACAAGCCACCGAGAGCAGCAGGACAGCCAGUGGCCUGAGGGCAGGGGUGGGCGCCACCUGCUGGUCACAGAUGAGAAGUGCACCUGGUGCCCACUUGGUCCUUCUGGAGGAGCCCGUGCUCCGGACUCUGAAGCCCUGGGCGGUGACUCCUGGGCUCCCACCCGAGGCACAACAUCCUCCUCCCCACGAGUUUCUCCAAAUAGCUGCUUCACGUGCUUUUCAUAGACGUGAUGUUUUUACAUGUCAGAAGUGUGUCAGAUACUCUAUAAAUCUUCAUAAACUCCCCAAACGUGGUACAGGGCUGGCCCCUGUGCUAGGCACUGGUGACAUGGUGACCAGCCAGAUAGCCAUGGUCCCUGCGGGCUCUGAGGGCAGGAGGCCAAUACUAAACACUGUCACAAAGGGCCCAUUUAGUGACAAGCGUAAUCACGGCUAACGGGGAAGCGGAGAGGGGAACGUUGCGUCACUUGCCCCCUCGCCAGCUCUGCAAGGACGGAUGUGACUGCUGCUUUACAGACGAGGCUCAGAGAGGUGGAGUGGUCCACGCGGCAGGAGGAGAUGCAGCUCAGACAGGGACCCAGGGCUGCCAGGCCACCGGAGGCGGGAGGGUGCAGGCUCCCCCGCAGGCCCACUGCCAGGCUGCAGAAAUGGUCCCCAACUCCCUUCCUAACAAGGCCCAGAGAGCAGCUGUGUCUCCAAAGCCUGGUUUCAAUGGGUUUCUG
RNAcentral lists this long non-coding RNA (5878 nucleotides) under Equus caballus (horse). RNAcentral's name for it is "lncRNA (ENSECAG00000053548.1)". The record is from RNAcentral. Lineage: Eukaryota; Metazoa; Chordata; Mammalia; Perissodactyla; Equidae.